RNA transcript from Bombus huntii, 2127 nucleotides. It is a transcript of the gene named transmembrane 7 superfamily member 3-like, with no coding region annotated. The transcript has 7 exons. Lineage: Eukaryota; Metazoa; Arthropoda; Insecta; Hymenoptera; Apidae. The record is from RefSeq and is a predicted model, not a curated record.
UGCGGCAAUUUAAUCGAAUAAGUGUGUCACGCGGCUCGUAACUCUGAUCGACAUGAACCGCACUUUUGUCGGAGAGCUGUUAAUCUUUCUGUUACUCACCAUUGGCAGCUUAGCUAGGGAAAAACCAUCAGAUACACUAUCUCUCACUGAUGGAAGUGUGUUACAGGUGAAUUUAACUAAUCUCCAUGAUUCUGUGCCAUACAUGAGACAAGUAUCUAUCAAAGCCAGUAGCAAUGCAACAUUUAAUAUAAUCAACAUUUCCUCCAACGCUUCUUUCAUUAUCUUUCAAAUUCAUACCUACCAACACAAUGUCACGCUGUCUUAUGAUAAAGAUUAUCUUAAUAAAAUUUCAAACAAAAGCGUAUUUGGAUCAAACAUUGGCCUUUUCUCUAGGCUAACCAAGAACAUAGUAACGCAACUAUUCGUGAAAAACGAUAAUGUCCACGACGUUAAUGGUCUACUCGCUGUUGUUGCUUACCACAAUAAAGCACCCAUACCGGGUGGAUGCAACAUGGAAUUCAAUACAGAGAUCGCGCCGUACGCGAGCGUGCAGACACUCGACACGAUGGUGAUCGUCGACGUGCAACCCGCCUCGGUACCGUUGAACGACAGCGCAAAGCUCACUUGCGAAAAAAAUCCUGUGGAAGUCGAGAUGUAUCAGAUAUUCCUGAAUGAGCAGGACUUCAGUAUCAAUAGUUAUUUUACGGCUAUCACAAGCAUGCUGACUGUUACGGAUAUUAAGGAAAAGGGAGUAAAGGUAGCGAAUCCGGUGAUUUCCUCUCCGAUAAGGCGAGUGUUCAGCGCGUACACCGGAGUUGGCUCCGUUUACGUCGCACUGGCUACUUAUGGGAAAUAUUCCGCGGCCUACGUGCCAUCAUUUUCAUACGCCUGUCAUCCCACAAUCGAUCCGGCCUCCUGUGACGUUUUACCCAAUUUACUUUCCAAGAUCGUCUGCGCUUUCUGUUUCUUCGUCGGAUUGUUAUCAAUAUGCUUCGGGCACCAUCACCUUAAAGCCGAUAUGGCACUGCCGGUAUUUUUCACUGGAACCGUGAUUGGUUACGCUGCAGUGGGGGAUAUUUUAAUCGCCAUGGGAAUAGGCCUGUGUUUCACGAUAUUCUGGUUGCUGUGCCUGUCGUACCUCCCAAUUGUCUUUAGCGGGAUAAUGUUUAACAUGACGCUGGGCUUCCUCUUCGCGUGUAUCGCUUACUUUCUGUCCCCGGGUACGGAAGAGGUUCCCGGAAAUCCAUUUCCAAACGAAAGGCCGGUAAACGUAUCCGGAAAUAAAUGCCGUAUCCGUGCACGCCGUUCGAGGAAAGAUCACAAGGAGUGUAGUAAAUUAUAGGAAAAUAAUGAAUCGCCGGCUUAAAAGCGGGCGAGAGGAGUAACGCGAAAAGAAAAGGGGGUGAGAGGCAGAAAGAGAGAUGGAGAGAGAGAGAGGGAGAGAGAGAAAGGGAGAGCUCACCGCCCCCGAAGUUAGUUGGAGUUUGGCGAAGGGAUGAAGCAUAGUCAGAGAGUCCCCCUGUAGCUUUUAUCAAUGUUGUUCGCUCAUGUGGAAACUUCGUCUGCCGAAUCCCCCUAUGCAGCAGUGGCGGGCAUUCGCGUUACCUCCUACCUUUCUCACCAUAACCAUCCUCCAUCACUAUCGCAUACACACGCAUAGACACUUACACGAUAAAAAUCAUCACGUAGAGAAAAGCUCACACAUAGACCAACUCCCUGCGCGAACUCCCACGAACCGAUCUAACCAGCUUGAAAGAUUCGCAUUUACCUAAUUGUGUCCCUUGUAUUUAUUUAGCUCCGGGACCUAUUUAGAUUACACGGUCUAUGCAUGCGUAACUGCACGGAGCAUCGGUCCCGAUUUACCCUGUCGACAGAUGAUCGACUUGGUCACCCUCUCUCUGUUCACCGUGUUCGUCUUUGGCAUAGUUUGAUUACAUUCUCCGUGGUUUAUGUAAUUAGCGUGAAGAUAUGGUUACAACGAUUCGUUUAUAAUUCUGCAAAACGACUGGAUAUUUUGGUCGCUGUUCAUGACCUUGGCCCUUAGUGUGAGUUUGAUCAUGACUAUAAUAUUUCAAUUUGGCUUUGUCAUCACGUGUUCCAUAAUCGCGUCCUUCAUGGUAAUCCUGC